RNAcentral lists this unclassified non-coding RNA (1159 nucleotides) under Peroneutypa scoparia. Its description in RNAcentral is "sequence contains ITS1 and ITS2". It matches the Rfam family "Eukaryotic large subunit ribosomal RNA", at positions 35 to 664 of the family's 3401-position model. The record is from RNAcentral. Lineage: Eukaryota; Fungi; Ascomycota; Sordariomycetes; Xylariales; Diatrypaceae.
UUUGCAUAUCCAAAAAGCGGAGGAAAAGAAACCAACAGGGAUUGCCUUAGUAACGGCGAGUGAAGCGGCAACAGCUCAAAUUUGAAAUCUGGCCCUCGGGUCCGAAUUGUAAUUUGUAGAGGAUGCUUUUGGUGCGGUGCCUUCUGAGUUCCUUGGAACAGGACGCCUUAGAGGGUGAGAGCCCCGUACAGUUGGACACCAAGCCUUUGUAAAGCUCCUUCGACGAGUCGAGUAGUUUGGGAAUGCUGCUCUAAAUGGGAGGUAAAUUUCUUCUAAAGCUAAAUAUUGGCCAGAGACCGAUAGCGCACAAGUAGAGUGAUCGAAAGAUGAAAAGUACUUUGAAAAGAGGGUUAAAUAGCACGUGAAAUUGUUGAAAGGGAAGCGUUUAUGACCAGACCUUCGUCGGGCGGAUCAUCCGGUGUUCUUCACCGGUGCACUUCGCCCGGCUUAGGCCAGCAUCGGUUUUCGUAGGGGGAUAAAGGCCUAGGGAAUGUGGCUCCCUCCGGGGAGUGUUAUAGCCCUGGGCGUAAUACCUUUAUGGGGACCGAGGUCGCGCUCCGGCAAGGAUGCUGCGUAUCCAGGGGUAUUGCCUUAGUACGGCGAGUGAAGCGGCAACAGCUCAAAUUUGAAAUCUGGCCCUCGGGUCCGAAUUGUAAUUUGUAGAGGAUGCUUUUGGUGCGGUGCCUUCUGAGUUCCUUGGAACAGGACGCCUUAGAGGGUGAGAGCCCCGUACAGUUGGACACCAAGCCUUUGUAAAGCUCCUUCGACGAGUCGAGUAGUUUGGGAAUGCUGCUCUAAAUGGGAGGUAAAUUUCUUCUAAAGCUAAAUAUUGGCCAGAGACCGAUAGCGCACAAGUAGAGUGAUCGAAAGAUGAAAAGUACUUUGAAAAGAGGGUUAAAUAGCACGUGAAAUUGUUGAAAGGGAAGCGUUUAUGACCAGACCUUCGUCGGGCGGAUCAUCCGGUGUUCUUCACCGGUGCACUUCGCCCGGCUUAGGCCAGCAUCGGUUUUCGUAGGGGGAUAAAGGCCUAGGGAAUGUGGCUCCCUCCGGGGAGUGUUAUAGCCCUGGGCGUAAUACCUUUAUGGGGACCGAGGUUCGCGCUCCGGCAAGGAUGCUGGCGUAAUGGUCAUCAACGACCCGUCUUGAACCACGGGACCCA